This 408-nucleotide ribosomal RNA is filed under the name Fusobacteriota bacterium. Its description in RNAcentral is "Fusobacteria bacterium partial 16S ribosomal RNA". It matches the Rfam family "Bacterial small subunit ribosomal RNA", at positions 355 to 776 of the family's 1533-position model. The record is from RNAcentral. Lineage: Bacteria; Fusobacteriati; Fusobacteriota.
UGGGGAAUAUUGCACAAUGGAGGGAACUCUGAUGCAGCAACGCCGCGUGCGGGAUGACGGCCUUCGGGUUGUAAACCGCUUUCAGCCAUGACGAAGCUUUUGUGACGGUCGUGGUAGAAGAAGCACCGGCUAACUACGUGCCAGCAGCCGCGGUUAUACGUAGGGUGCGAGCGUUGUCCGGAAUUAUUGGGCGUAAAGAGCUUGUAGGCGGUUUGUCGCGUCGAUAGUGUAACACGCAGCUUAACUGUGUGACUGCUGUCGAUACGGGCUGACUAUAGGAGAGUAGGGGAGAAUGUAAUUCCCGGUGGAGCGGUGGAAGGCGCAGAUAUCGGGAGGAACACCAGUGGCGAAGGCGGUUCUCUGUACCUUUCCUGACGCUGAGAAGCGAAAGCGUGGGUAGCAAACAGG